Molecule: ribosomal RNA, 390 nt
Filed under: Dicrateria sp.
Lineage: Eukaryota; Haptophyta; Isochrysidales; Isochrysidaceae
Description: partial small subunit ribosomal RNA
Rfam family: Eukaryotic small subunit ribosomal RNA
Source: RNAcentral
AUUCCAGCUCCAAUAGCGUAUAUUAAAGUUGUUGCAGUUAAAACGCUCGUAGUCGGAUUUCGGGGCGGCUUCGUCGGUCUGCCGAUGGGUAUGCACUGACGCGGGCGUCCUUCCUUCCGGAGACGCGUCCUACUCUUAGCUGAGCGGGGCGUGGAGACGGAUCGUUUACUUUGAAAAAAUCAGAGUGUUUCAAGCAGGCAUCAUCGCUCUUGCAUGGAUUAGCAUGGGAUAAUGAAAUAGGACCUUGGUGCUAUUUUGUUGGUUUCGAGCACCGAAGUAAUGAUUAACAGGGACAGUCAGGGGCACUCGUAUUCCGCCGAGAGAGGUGAAAUUCUCAGACCAGCGGAAGACGAACCACUGCGAAAGCAUUUGCCAGGGAUGUUUUCAUCA